RNAcentral lists this ribosomal RNA (268 nucleotides) under uncultured Sphingobacteriales bacterium. Its description in RNAcentral is "partial 16S ribosomal RNA". It matches the Rfam family "Bacterial small subunit ribosomal RNA", at positions 1117 to 1382 of the family's 1533-position model. Lineage: Bacteria; Pseudomonadati; Bacteroidota; Sphingobacteriia; Sphingobacteriales. The record is from RNAcentral.
GCCAUCAGGUUAAGCUGGGGACUCUAAAGGAACUGCCUACGCAAGUAGUGAGGAAGGCGGGGAGUGACGUCAAAUCAGCACGGCCCUUACGUCCAGGGCUACGACACGUGCUACAAUGGCCGAUACAGAGGGCAGCUACCUGGUGACAGGAUGCAAAUCUCCAAAGUCGGUCUCAGUUCGGAUCGGAGUCUGCAACCCGACUCCGUGAAGUUGGAUUCGCUAGUAAUCGCGCAUCAGCCAUGGCGCGGUGAAUACGUUCCCGGGCCUU